Molecule: long non-coding RNA, 1522 nt
Filed under: Theobroma cacao (cacao)
Lineage: Eukaryota; Viridiplantae; Streptophyta; Magnoliopsida; Malvales; Malvaceae
Description: long non-coding RNA (TCAC_LNC002774)
Source: RNAcentral
AAGUUAUUACAAAAUCAUAAAUUGGACUAAGGUAUUGAGAGAAGAUGAAUUUGCCAAGGUUCAAAUCAUGAUAUUUGCAAAAAUUUAAAAUUUUUUUCCCUCAUUCAACUGGUUUGGAACGAAUUUUAUUCAAUAUCCACAUCUAAUUCUAUUUAUAUGUGAACAAUUUUUUAUAGCGAGAAUCUUAACCCUCAAACUCAAAUUCUAUCCAAAAGCAUUUCGAGUAUUAAUUUUUCAAUCCAAAAUCUACCUGUAUUCAUUUAUAAAUAUCCAAAACCGUAUUAAUUGAGUUUAAUUGAGAAAAUCAGCUAAUAAAUUGUACAAUUACAGUUUUUAAUCUAAUUACCAAAUUGGUGCCUGAUUUUGGGUCACAAGUUUGGUGAGCAGCUCGAUCACUAUCAGGCUAAUCUUUCAACUCCUAAGGAGAGUAUUGUACAAUCUUAUGGUUGUUUCUUUAAAUGGGUCAGAUGCUUUUUAGGUAAUUUAAAUAUGGAAUAGGGAACUUACAAAAUUAAUAAUUAUUGAAGUUUCUGUGAUCUAGUUAACUAAAUUUUCCUAGAUGCAAUUAUCAUGGUUGGUGUAAGUGAGUUACUUUGAACUAGAAACUAAAUCAAAAUUGUCUCUUUUAGAAUGUAAGGAAACUGGCCUUUGAAUUUGCUAGUAACUUUUGCUGGCUGCUAAAGCAUACAAUCUCUUGCUUUUCAUCUUUGGAAUUGGACUGACUCACCUAGAAAUGAAUGGUAUGAAAUAUGGGAGUAUGGAAUGAAAGUAGGUGCUUUGGGCCAUCCCCCGUUAGGCAGAAGGGCUUCCAAGGCUGGCUCCAGUCUCAUUAAUGCUUACGAUCUGUCUUAAACUCUGAGAACACAGCACAGGCCCACAUAGGAAGCAUGCACUACACUUCCAAGUUCCAUCCAUGGCCAGGCAUUUUCUUCUUUCUAGCUAAAUUGGGUGCCUGGAAAUGACUGAAAUAAAAUUCAACAACAAAAAGUAUUACCCAAAAAUGACUGAAAUAAACCAAUGAUUACUGUGUAUAGCAUUGAAUGAUAUGUAUUUGUCUUCAUGGUCAAUUUAUGCCCCCUCAAACUUUUGGAUCCUUUUUUCCAGUCUCCUACUUGCAAGGGCACCAAACCUAUUCAAACAUUUGGAUCCUUUUUUCCGGUUUCCUACUUGCAAGGGCACCAAACCUAUUCAAACAUUUGGCAAAAUGGUAAAGGGGUUGGAAGAAUUAGCAAUCAAAUCUUUGCACAUCACAAACUCACAAGAAAAGAUAAAAAAAAUCAAAGUCUUUGGUUGAGAAUCCAAGGGGAAAGAAAAAAUCCCUUCCCCCUGUACCUAAACAUGAUAGAGACCUUUCUAUAGGAAAUUAGGAAGAAGUCAGGAACUGACUUAUCACACCAGCCGCGUCCAAAUUGGAGACUGAAAUCUCCAAACAACUAAUAGUAUUCCUUUACUUGCAGUAACACACACUGCAUUAAACUUUGCGCAAGCAAUUUCCUUUAUUGGCUACUUCGAAAUAAUUUCA